UACAGAGGGGGCAAGCGUUGUUCGGAAUUACUGGGCGUAAAGGGCGCGUAGGCGGCCUGCUAAGUCGAACGGGAAAUCCCCGGGCUCAACCCGGGAACUGCGUCCGAUACUGGUUGGCUUGAAUCCGGGAGAGGGAUGCGGAAUUCCAGGUGUAGCGGUGAAAUGCGUAGAUAUCUGGAGGAACACCGGUGGCGAAGGCGGCAUCCUGGACCGGCAUUGACGCUGAGGCGCGAAGGCCAGGGGAGCAAACGGG
Molecule: ribosomal RNA, 253 nt
Filed under: uncultured bacterium
Lineage: Bacteria
Description: partial 16S ribosomal RNA
Rfam family: Bacterial small subunit ribosomal RNA
Source: RNAcentral